AAUCUACUCCCUCCGUCCAACAAAGAAUGUCUCAAAUUGUCAAAUUUUGAAUGUAUCUAGACAUGACUUAGUGUAUAUAUACAUUCAAAUUUAGUCCAAGUUGAGACAUCCUUUGUUGGACGGAGGGAGUAUAUG
This is a non-coding RNA of Brachypodium distachyon (stiff brome), 135 nucleotides long. The record is from Rfam. Lineage: Eukaryota; Viridiplantae; Streptophyta; Magnoliopsida; Poales; Poaceae.